Molecule: ribosomal RNA, 2431 nt
Filed under: human gut metagenome
Description: bacterial LSU rRNA
Rfam family: Bacterial large subunit ribosomal RNA
Source: RNAcentral
UCAAGCUAAUAAGAGCACAGGGUGAAUGCCAAGGCACCAGACGCCGAAGAAGGACGCGAUCAGCUGCGAUAAGCCAUGGUGAGCCGCAAAUAGGCUACGACCCAUGGAUUUCCGAAUGAGGAAACUCAGCGCGGGUAAUGCCGCGUUACCGCAUGAUGAAUCCAUAGUCAUGCGGGGGUAACCCGGGGAACUGAAACAUCUAAGUACCCGGAGGAAGAGAAAUCAACCGAGAUUCCCUGAGUAGCGGCGAGCGAAAGGGGAAGAGGCCAAACCGAUGGACUACGGUCGAUCGGGGUUGUGGACUGGCAUAAGCAACGCGUAGGAUAGCAGAAUCCGUUGGGAAGCGGAAUCAAAGAGGGUAAGAAUCCCGUACGCGAAAUCCGAAACGAGCGGCCAGGAUCCAGAGUACCACAGGACACGAGGAAUCCGGUGGGAAGCCGGGGGGACCACCCUCCAAGCCUAAAUACGUACUGGUGACCGAUAGCGCAUAGUACCGUGAGGGAAAGGUGAAAAGAACCCCGGGAGGGGAGUGAAAGAGAACCUGAAACCCUGUGUUUACAAGCAGAGAAAGCACGUUAAAAGUGCGAUCUCGUACUUUUUGUAGAACGGACCGGCGAGUUACGUUGUGCAGCGAGGUUAAGGACUGAAGGUCCGGAGCCGAAGCGAAAGCGAGUCUGAAUAGGGCGCAGAGUUGCAUGACGUAGACCCGAAACUGGGUGACCUAUCCAUGAGCAGGGUGAAGUGGUGGUAAAACACCAUGGAGGCCCGAACGCACAUCCAUUGAAAAGGGUGGCGAUGACUUGUGGAUAGCGGAGAAAUUCCAAUCGAACUCAGAAAUAGCUGGUUCUCCUCGAAAUAGCUUUAGGGCUAGCCUCGAUAAGAGAUUGGCGGAGGUAGAGCACUGAAUGAGCUAGGGGGCCACAAAGCUUACCGAACUCUAUCAAACUCCGAAUACCGCACAAUCGUUCAUCGGGAGUCAGACGGCGGGAGAUAAGUUUCGUCGUCAAAAGGGAAACAGCCCAGAUCAACAGCUAAGGUCCCCAAGUGUGUGUUAAGUGGGAAAGGAUGUGCAACCGCAGAGACAACCAGGAUGUUGGCUUAGAAGCAGCCACACAUUAAAAGAGUGCGUAAUAGCUCACUGGUCGAGUAGUUGUGCGCCGAAGAUGUAACGGGGCUAAAACACACCACCGAAGCUUUGGGAUCGCCGAAAGGUGAUCGGUAGAGGAGCAUUGUGUGCUGGGUGAAGCGGUACCGAAAGGAGCCGUGGACGGCACAGAAGAGAGAAUGCCGGUAUGAGUAGCGCGAGGCAUGCGAGAAACAUGCCCGUCGAUAGCCUAAGGUUUCCUGGGGAAGGCUCGUCCGCCCAGGGUAAGUCGGGACCUAAGCCGAGGACAGCGGUCGUAGGCGAUGGACAGCAGGUGGAGAUUCCUGCACUACCGAGGAUUGUUUGAGUGAAGCAGUGACACAGAAGGAUAGCCUGAGCAGGGUAAUGGUCAACCCUGUACAAGCGGUGAGGCUGGUGCGUAGUGAAGUACGCGCACUAAGGCUGGGCCGUGAUGUGGAGCGAAAUUGAAGUAGCGAAGCAGGUGAUUUCACACUGGCGAGAAAAGCUGCUGGCGAGAUCUGAGGUACCCGUACCGCAAACCGACACAGGUAGGCAAGGAGAGAAUCCUAAGACGAACGGGAGAACACUUGUUAAGGAACUCGGCAAAAUGACCCCGUAACUUCGGGAGAAAGGGUGCUGCAGAGAUGCAGCCGCAGAGAAGAGUCCCAAGCGACUGUUUAGCAAAAACACAGGUAUCUGCGAAAGCGAGAGCUGACGUAUAGGUGCUGACACCUGCCCGGUGCUGGAAGGUUAAGGGGAACUGUUAGAGCAAUCGAAGCAGAGAACCGAAGCCCCAGUAAACGGCGGCCGUAACUAUAACGGUCCUAAGGUAGCGAAAUUCCUUGUCGGGUAAGUUCCGACCCGCACGAAUGGUGUAACGACUUGGGAGCUGUCUCAACAAGUGGCCCGGUGAAAUUGAAGUAUGUGUGAAGAUGCACAUUACCCGCGACUGGACGGAAAGACCCCGUAGAGCUUUACUGCAGCCUGAUAUUGGAUUUUGGCAACAGAUGUACAGAAUAGGUGGGAGCCGGAGAAGGCAGGACGCCAGUCUUGCCGGAGGCGCCGUUGGGAUACCACUCUUUUGUUGCUGGAGUUCUAACCGUGGUGCGUCAUCCGCAUCAGGGACAGUGUCAGGUGGGCAGUUUGACUGGGGCGGUCGCCUCCUAAAAGGUAACGGAGGCGCUCAAAGGUAUCCUCAGAAUGGAUGGAAACCAUUCGGAGAGCGUAAAGGCAGAAGGAUGCCUGACUGCGAGAUUGACAAAUCGAGCAGAGAGGAAACUCGGACUUAGUGACCCGGCGGUAUGAGAGUGGAAUUGCCGUCGCUCA